Molecule: ribosomal RNA, 497 nt
Filed under: uncultured bacterium
Lineage: Bacteria
Description: partial 16S ribosomal RNA
Rfam family: Bacterial small subunit ribosomal RNA
Source: RNAcentral
GACGAACGCUGGCGGCGUGCCUAAUACAUGCAAGUAGAACGCUGAAGCGAGGAGCUUGCUCUUCUUGGAUGAGUUGCGAACGGGUGAGUAACGCGUAGGUAACCUGCCUUGUAGCGGGGGAUAACUAUUGGAAACGAUAGCUAAUACCGCAUAACAAUGGAUGACACAUGUCAUUUAUUUGAAAGGGGCAAUUGCUCCACUACAAGAUGGACCUGCGUUGUAUUAGCUAGUAGGUGAGGUAAUGGCUCACCUAGGCGACGAUACAUAGCCGACCUGAGAGGGUGAGCGGCCACACUGGGACUGAGACACGGCCCAGACUCCUACGGGAGGCAGCAGUAGGGAAUCUUCGGCAAUGGGGGCAACCCUGACCGAGCAACGCCGCGUGAGUGAAGAAGGUUUUCGGAUCGUAAAGCUCUGUUGUAAGUCAAGAACGGGUGUGGGAGUGGAAAGUUCACACUGUGACGGUAGCUUACCAGAAAGGGACGGCUAACUACGUG